GACGAACGCUGGCGGCGUGCCUAAUACAUGCAAGUCGAGCGAAUCUUUAAGAGCUUGCUUUUGAAGAUUAGCGGCGGACGGGUGAGUAACACGUGGGCAACCUGCCUGUAAGACUGGGAUAACUUCGGGAAACCGGAGCUAAUACCGGAUAAUCUGUUCCCUCGCAUGAGGGAAUUCUAAAAGACGGCGCAAGCUGUCACUUACAGAUGGGCCCGCGGCGCAUUAGCUAGUUGGUGAGGUAACGGCUCACCAAGGCGACGAUGCGUAGCCGACCUGAGAGGGUGAUCGGCCACACUGGGACUGAGACACGGCCCAGACUCCUACGGGUGGCAG
RNAcentral lists this ribosomal RNA (333 nucleotides) under uncultured Bacillota bacterium. Its description in RNAcentral is "bacterial SSU rRNA". It matches the Rfam family "Bacterial small subunit ribosomal RNA", at positions 28 to 351 of the family's 1533-position model. The record is from RNAcentral. Lineage: Bacteria; Bacillati; Bacillota.